AUGGCAAGGUCCGCCAUGUCCGGGCUAGUGCUCCUGCUGCUCUGUGCAACCUGCAGAUUGGCGCUAGGAAUCACCGAUGGGCUGCUGGCGAACGGCAACUUCGAGCGCGGGCCGCAGCCGUCGCAGCUGCGCGGGACGCAGGUGGUGGGCGCGUCGUCGAUCCCGUCGUGGCGGACGUCGGGGUUCGUGGAGUACAUCCCGUCGGGGCGGAAGCAGGGGGACAUGGUGCUCGUCGUCCCCGAGGCCCGAGGGCGCGCGGAGCGCCUCAACGUGUCCGCGUCCGGCCAGUCCGGCGUGCUGGUCAUGCAGACCAUGUACAGCAGCAACGGCUGGGACUCCUACUCCUGGGCCUGGGACGCCACCGCCGACGAGGUCGAGGUCGUCGUCCACAACCCCGGCGUCACCGAGGACCCCGCCUGCGGGCCCCUCAUCGACUCCGUCGCCAUCAAGACCCUCACCCCGCCUCGCCGCACCAACAAGAACCUGGUGAAGAAUGGUGAUUUCGAGGAGGGGCCGUACAUCAUCCCCGGGACCAAGUGGGGGGUGCUGAUCCCGUCGCGGAUGGUGGACGAGCACUCGCCGCUGCCGGGGUGGAUGGUGGAGUCGCUCAAGGCCGUCAAGUACAUCGACAGCGACCACUUCGCGGUGCCCCGGGGGCGCCGGGCCGUGGAGCUGCUGGCGGGGAGGGAGAGCGCGAUCGCGCAGGUGAUCCGCACCGUGCCGGGGAGGCAGUACGCGCUGUCCUUCAGCGUGGGCAACGCCAGCAACACGUGCCGCGGGUCGCUCAUGGUGGAGGCCUACGCCGGCAGGGAGUCGACCAAGGUGCCGUACGAGUCGGCGGGGCAGGGCGGCGCCGCCAAGCGCGCCGUGCUCCCGUUCCGCGCCACGUCGUCCCGCACGCGCGUCGUCUUCUUCAGCUCCUUCUACAACACCAGGACCGACGACAUGAGCUCGCUCUGCGGGCCAGUGAUCGACGACGUCGCCGUCGUCAGCGUGCGCGCGCGGCCGCCAAAGCGCGCCUAG
RNAcentral lists this ribosomal RNA (1023 nucleotides) under Triticum aestivum (bread wheat). Its description in RNAcentral is "partial small subunit ribosomal RNA". The record is from RNAcentral. Lineage: Eukaryota; Viridiplantae; Streptophyta; Magnoliopsida; Poales; Poaceae.